GCCGGGUGUGGUGGCGGGCGCCUGUAGUCCCAACUACUCAGGAGGCUGAGGCAGAAGAAUCACUUGAACCUGGGAGGCAGAGGUUGCAGUGAGCUGAGAUUGCGCCACUGUAUUCUAGCCUGGGUGACAGAGUGAGACUCUGUCUCAA
Molecule: non-coding RNA, 148 nt
Filed under: Homo sapiens (human)
Lineage: Eukaryota; Metazoa; Chordata; Mammalia; Primates; Hominidae
Source: Rfam by way of RNAcentral